UCUUGGGGCCUGUGUAGGUCUGCUGGGAACAGGACUUCUAAAAGGCAAAUAUGUCUGGAAGCAACACAGUGACUCCUGGCGGCAAACCAAACAAAACCAGGGUAAUCUGGGGAAAGAUAACUCGAGCCCAUGGAAACAGUGGUAUGGUUCGUGCCAAAUUCCGAAGCAACCUUCCUGCUAAGGCCAUUGGACAUAGAAUCCGUGUAAUGCUGUACCCCUCAAGGAUUUAAACUGAUGAAAAGUAAAUAAAAGUGGAUUUAUGCUGUUGUAUUUUUAUUAA
This is a long non-coding RNA of Otolemur garnettii (small-eared galago), 280 nucleotides long. RefSeq lists it as uncharacterized. The record is from RefSeq and is a predicted model, not a curated record. The transcript is spliced from 4 exons. Lineage: Eukaryota; Metazoa; Chordata; Mammalia; Primates; Galagidae.